Long non-coding RNA from Arachis stenosperma, 535 nucleotides. RefSeq lists it as uncharacterized. The transcript has 3 exons. NCBI's taxonomy places the organism in Eukaryota, Viridiplantae, Streptophyta, Magnoliopsida, Fabales, Fabaceae. The record is from RefSeq and is a predicted model, not a curated record.
AUCACCAAGAGAAAAAGGAGAGAAAGUUCUUGGUUCAUAAAUCUUCAAAGCUUGAUUUCUUCUGAACUAAAACUCAAAUCAAAACACCGAUUUCACCAAAAUGAUCCUCUCUUCUUCCUCUACAUAACCAUGUGAAUUAUCAAGGCUGGAAAUAAGGAGGAAAAAGUGCUUAAGGACCACCUGAAAGUUUGAUUGAAUUAGGAGCAGCAAAACCAGAUGGAAGCAUGAGUACCCUUCCGUAGUUCGCUGAUGACCGUUCGUAAAGAGAAUUCCGCUCUAGGUAGUCUUCUGAGUCUAGGGUGAAUCUCUUUAUCUAUGUAUAUGUAUAUACUGUGAGACCAGCCAACGUCUGCACCCCGUUCGUAUACGCACUUUAACCUGAAUCCUGUGUACGAGACUCCCGUUGUGUGGCUACUUGAUGAGGUACCAGAGAGACGUCAUGUGGCAAUGUCUGAUCGUGCAGAGGAGUAACAAAUGAUGUUCUACCUUUUGAUGAUGUUCCACCUGACUUGAGUUUUGAAGACCUAGAAUGUAC